RNAcentral lists this small RNA (28 nucleotides) under Bombyx mori (domestic silkworm). RNAcentral's name for it is "piRNA piR-bmo-1321763". The record is from RNAcentral. Lineage: Eukaryota; Metazoa; Arthropoda; Insecta; Lepidoptera; Bombycidae.
UUCUUGCUUGAAGGUUCGCGGCUUGGGC